Long non-coding RNA from Salvelinus sp. IW2-2015, 679 nucleotides. RefSeq lists it as uncharacterized. The record is from RefSeq and is a predicted model, not a curated record. NCBI's taxonomy places the organism in Eukaryota, Metazoa, Chordata, Actinopteri, Salmoniformes, Salmonidae.
CUGGGAUCUGUAACUAUGUAAGAAGGACUUAUUUCACCACGAUUUCAGGAUUUUCGCCUUUUUUUUCCUUUGAUACCAAGGGAAGAACUAGGCAGUUACACCAGCAAAUGGAUGCACGAAUUGGAGGAAACAGGCACAGUGGGGUGCUUCAGACGUGUCCAUGCAUCAUGAGGGGAAAUACUUUUGCUGGCUUUGAAGUGGAGGGAAGGAUUAGAAUCAUAAUAAUUCCACGACACAGCUCAUGACCAGAAGCUGAGACAGAGAAAAGGAUCUCUGAAGAUGAACCUGGACCGGAAGACUCCACAUCUUGGCAUUACUUAGGAAUAAAACAUGACUUUGUUUGACUGCUUGAGCUAGACCAGAGUUGAUGCAUUUCCAUUUAUUAAGCGUUAACACUGUAUUGCCCUUUCCAGAGCUCUUCAAUACCAAAUUAAGUAUUUUGUUCUGUAAAUAAAUGUAUUUAGAUUUUAUUUAGGCAACACCUUUUCCUUCUUUAUUUGGGUUGUUGGAGGUAUAGAUUGUGAUUUGUGAAACAGGUUUGUGUUGUUUUUGUUAUUGUAAACAAAUGCAAUAUUAGUCAACAUAAUACAAUUGUUGGCUUUAAAUGUGUGUAGUGUCAAUGCAUCAAGUACAGUAUGCCUAUGACUUAAAUGUUGUAAUUUGAUUGAAAGAGGUAUGA